GUGGGGAAUUUUGGACAAUGGGCGCAAGCCUGAUCCAGCAAUGUCGCGUGUGUGAAGAAGGCCUUCGGGUUGUAAAGCACUUUUGGCAGGAAAGAAAUAGUGCGUGCUAAUACCAUGCGCGAAUGACGGUACCUGCAGAAUAAGCACCGGCUAACUACGUGCCAGCAGCCGCGGUAAGACGUAGGGUGCAAGCGUUAAUCGGAAUUACUGGGCGUAAAGCGUGCGCAGGCGGUUUUGUAAGACAGGUGUGAAAUCCCCGGGCUCAACCUGGGAACUGCACUUGUGACUGCAAGGCUAGAGUGUGUCAGAGGGAGGUGGAAUUCCGCGUGUAGCAGUGAAAUGCGUAGAGAUGCGGAGGAACACCGAUGGCGAAGGCAGCCUCCUGGGAUAACACUGACGCUCAGGCACGAAAGCGUGGGGAGCAAACAGGAUUAGAUACCCGGGUAGUCC
RNAcentral lists this ribosomal RNA (450 nucleotides) under uncultured bacterium. RNAcentral's name for it is "partial 16S ribosomal RNA". It matches the Rfam family "Bacterial small subunit ribosomal RNA", at positions 354 to 796 of the family's 1533-position model. The record is from RNAcentral.